RNAcentral lists this ribosomal RNA (296 nucleotides) under uncultured bacterium. RNAcentral describes it as "partial 16S ribosomal RNA". It matches the Rfam family "Bacterial small subunit ribosomal RNA", at positions 32 to 317 of the family's 1533-position model. The record is from RNAcentral.
AAUCAACGCUGGCGGCGUGCCUAACACAUGCAAGUCGAACGCGAAAGGGGCUUCGGUCCUGAGUAGAGUGGCGUCCGGGUGAGUAACGCGUGGGUAAUCUACCCUUGGGUGGGGAAGUAACCAGUCGAAAGAUUAGGCUAAUACCGCAUAAUGCAGCGGCUCGACAUCGAGACAGUUGUUAAAGCAGCAAUGCGCCAGAGGAGGAGCCUGCGUCUGAUUAGCUUGUUGGCGGGGUAACGGCCCGACCGACGGCUACGAUCAGUAGCUGGUCUGAGAGGACGGCCAGCCACAAUGGC